This 79-nucleotide ribosomal RNA is filed under the name Haliclystus sanjuanensis. Its description in RNAcentral is "partial 28S ribosomal RNA". It matches the Rfam family "Eukaryotic large subunit ribosomal RNA", at positions 1 to 80 of the family's 3401-position model. Lineage: Eukaryota; Metazoa; Cnidaria; Staurozoa; Stauromedusae; Haliclystidae. The record is from RNAcentral. RNAcentral also lists the same sequence under 5 other names.
GACCUCAGAUCAGGCAAGACUACCCGCUGAAUUUAAGCAUAUUAAUAAGCGGAGGAAAAGAAACUAACAAGGAUUCCCU